This 923-nucleotide long non-coding RNA is filed under the name Triticum aestivum (bread wheat). RNAcentral describes it as "long non-coding RNA (TAES_LNC009791)". The record is from RNAcentral. Lineage: Eukaryota; Viridiplantae; Streptophyta; Magnoliopsida; Poales; Poaceae.
CUGGCUGUUUCUUUUGUUCAGUAUAUACGUGUGCUUUUUGUUCUUUUGUUCUAUUCACUGUGUGAGUAUAGUUUCUUGUUGGCACCAAGGUGUUUGAGAUGGUCUUCCUGUUGGUGCAUGAGAAAGAGGAAGUGAAGUCAUUGAUUUGUCCACCGAGGAAGAGGAAGCGUGAAGUCUUUGAUUUGUCCAGAGGGUAAGUCAUCGGUCUAUCCCACUCUUCCUUUGCUAUGUGAUUGUGACCUCCAUGUGUUAUCUACUUAUCUAGACACUUUGGUUCAUAUACUAUUCUUGUGAUUUUCCAAUGCUAUGUCAAAAAUGAAUCUGUAACCUUUAAUGAAUUCAAUGUAUGAUCGUGAUGAAAAUGAAUGAAUGAGUGAUAUCAUACCAACUUGUUUUUGCCCUUGAUCAGUAUCAUUUGUGGUAGCUCCUAAGCAACAUGAUCUUUUUCUUGCUCCGAGAUCCCAAGUGUGGUGUUGUACUUUUGUUGUGCUUGAUUGAUGUCCUGCUAGCUGCUACUGUUAAUUGUUACUGCCAUGAUGUUAACACUGCUUAGAAUAUGUUAUGCGCCAUAAUUCUAGUAGUAUUUGUUGUCAAAAGCAUGAUUGUAUUGUGAGCCAUCAAUUUCUUGGAGUCUUCUUAGAGCUUGCUGCUUGUGUAUUUGUUUAUUAUUUUGUUCAAUAUUCUUUUCCUAGUUGUUGUAUGUUUGAGGAUAUUACUUUCAUUCUGAAUUCACAGCUAUGAUAAUGAUCGUUUCCUGUCUUUUACAGGAGCUCCAGGCUCAAGAAGUUGGAAAAAGGGAACGCUUCAUCUUUGUAGCUAAUUAUAUGUUCCUGGAUGAUGUGAAUGGUUGUUAUAGUAUUUCAUAGCAGCACUUUUGUAGUUGUUCUAAAUUCCCGGAUGAUGUGAACUAUGGCAUGAUUGUA